This 301-nucleotide ribosomal RNA is filed under the name uncultured bacterium. Its description in RNAcentral is "partial 16S ribosomal RNA". It matches the Rfam family "Bacterial small subunit ribosomal RNA", at positions 509 to 807 of the family's 1533-position model. The record is from RNAcentral.
CAGCAGCCGCGGUAAUACAGAGGGUGCGAGCGUUAAUCGGAUUUACUGGGCGUAAAGCGUGCGUAGGCGGCUUCUUAAGUCGGAUGUGAAAUCCCUGAGCUUAACUUAGGAAUUGCAUUCGAUACUGGGAAGCUAGAGUAUGGGAGAGGAUGGUAGAAUUCCAGGUGUAGCGGUGAAAUGCGUAGAGAUCUGGAGGAAUACCGAUGGCGAAGGCAGCCAUCUGGCCUAAUACUGACACUGAGGUGCGAAAGCGUGGGGAGCAAACAGGAUUAGAGACCCCAGUAGUCCCUGUCUCUUAUAC